Long non-coding RNA from Mercurialis annua (annual mercury), 1061 nucleotides. RefSeq lists it as uncharacterized. The transcript is spliced from 3 exons. The record is from RefSeq and is a predicted model, not a curated record. Lineage: Eukaryota; Viridiplantae; Streptophyta; Magnoliopsida; Malpighiales; Euphorbiaceae.
GGCUCCAAGAGAUGGCAGGAGGUCACUAGAGAAGUUGGCAUGGUAAAUACUUUGCAUUUGAACCUCGUCGCUACAGAAUCUAUGGAAGAAGUUUUUGGCCCAGGUAAAUAGGCUAUUCAUAUGUAGUGCGUCAUUAAAGGGAAAGCAGGAAAAACAUGAAGAUAAACUUUUCAUCUUGUUUGAACAAAAAAGGUAAGGUAGAAAGAUGACGAAAAGGAGAGACAAGGAGGAUAUAUGAAAAUUGCAAUACAAGUGGCAGACAUGAGAUUUUUGUAAUGCAGUUGCACUUAAGCAACGAUAAUGGUGGUGGUAAUUGCGGUGGUGGUGGUGGUGGACGGUCCGUCACCAAGAUUAUUAUGGUGGUGUGAGUGGUAUAUAGACAAAAGUGUUGCAAGGACAGAUUUGAGUGAAAAUAAGUUGGUGUUUUCAUUUCAGAAAUCCAGAGAUGGACCAGAAGCAGCUGCUUCAGUAGAUUUAGAGAGAGUCAUGGAUGCCACGUGGACCAGUAGCGACUUUAUCUGAAGAGUUAGCACUUACGUGACUAAUUUCUCACACAUUAUAUUCUUCUGCAGCUUAAUCAGAGCCAUAUAUUAAUCCAGAAUUUCUUCUGGUCCGUGCUCCCUUCCUCCUUCAUGAAGAUUUUGACGUAUGAUUCCUUCUCUCUAACUAUUGGCAAGAUAAUUAUUGCGAUAUUACCAUAUCAUCUGUACAACAAAUUAAUCAUAUGAGUGAAAACUUUUAUUGUUUAUAUGAUUAUUAUAAAAAAAGAUUUACACAUUUCACGUAUUUUAUUGAUUUGUUGUAUGAUGUCAUAACAAAUACGUGGAAUAAUUACUUUAGUCGGAAUAUAUAUAUAUAUAUAUAUAUGUUGGCCAACUAAGGUAAGAUUGCUUAAGUUAGACUACAAUAUAUUAGCUUAUCUGGCAGCAAUUAGUAGAAGUGAAGUUAUUAAGACAUAGAAUACAUGGUUGUCUCAUUUGCACAUGUUCUGUCCUGAACCUUCAAGAGAAGGGCUCAAUUUGGCAUAUGAGAAUGGGGGACCUCCAAUUAAUUCUAGAGUA